This is a non-coding RNA of Pelobates cultripes (western spadefoot toad), 580 nucleotides long. NCBI's taxonomy places the organism in Eukaryota, Metazoa, Chordata, Amphibia, Anura, Pelobatidae. The record is from the annotation of a GenBank genome assembly.
GAAGGUUUGAUGCAAUUCCAAAAUGGCCACCUCCACACUGGUAAACUAUCAGACAUUCACAAGUCUUAAUUUCAGAUAAACCUACUAUAGCUAGCUUUGCUUAAAAUAAUUUCCCAUAAAUAAAUUAUUAGGUGACUGUGUCACUUUAAACAUCAACUUUCAAAAUGGAAUGCGAUCUGUAUUUAGAAACUGCUAUGGUCAGUAUGCAAGACAUUCCAUCCUGGCAUAAGGUCUUAUGGGGUCAGAUUGUGAGAUGGGUAAAAUAUGCCUUUCAUCCUUAAGGGGACACUGAGCACCGGAGCCAGUAUUGAGUGGUGUGCUGGUUAUGGUGCAAGGAGUCCCAGGCUCUGUACAGCUGCUCUCGGUCAAACCAUUGUGAGCAGUUUGACACGUAUCUUGCUCUAUGGGGGAGCCUGUGGUCCUUCUAUUCUGAGCUGCUAUGAUAAUAUGUAAAUGUAUCAUAAAUAGUUUAACAGGUAACCCUCGUACAGAGACUGGUGCCAAGUAAACAGGGAUACAUUUCUGCAAACAGAAAUUAGAAGGAAGGGACACUACUCAGCCAAGCUUAAAGAAUUACUAC